This 200-nucleotide ribosomal RNA is filed under the name uncultured Glomus. RNAcentral describes it as "partial small subunit ribosomal RNA". It matches the Rfam family "Eukaryotic small subunit ribosomal RNA", at positions 591 to 796 of the family's 1831-position model. The record is from RNAcentral. Lineage: Eukaryota; Fungi; Glomeromycota; Glomeromycetes; Glomerales; Glomeraceae.
CCAAUAGCGUAUAUUAAAGUUGUUGCAGUUAAAAAGCUCGUAGUUGAAUUUCGGGAUCAGUACGCUGGUCGUGCCUUCGGUAUGAACUGGUGUCACUGGUUCCUCCCUUCUGAAGAACCGUCAUGCCAUUCAAUUGGUGUGGCGGGAAAUCAGGACUGUUACUUUGAAAAAAUUAGAGUGUUUAAAGCAGGCUCGCGCUU